UACGGGAGGCAGCAGUGGGGAAUAUUGCACAAUGGGCGCAAGCCUGAUGCAGCCAUGUCGCGUGUAUGAAGAAGGCCUUCGGGUUGUAAAGUACUUUCAGUCGUGAGGAAGGUGUUAAGGUUAAUAACCUUAGCAAUUGACGUUAGCGACAGAAGAAGCACCGGCUAACUCCGUGCCAGCAGCCGCGGUAAUACGGAGGGUGCGAGCGUUAAUCGGAAUUACUGGGCGUAAAGGGCACGCAGGCGGUUAAUUAAGUUGGAUGUGAAAUCCCCGGGCUUAACCUGGGAAUGGCAUUCAAGACUGGUUAGCUAGAGUCUUGUAGAGGGGGUAGAAUUCCAUGUGUAGCGGUGAAAUGCGUAGAGAUGUGGAGGAAUACCGGUGGCGAAGGCGGCCCCUGGACAAAGGCUGACGCUCAUGUGCGAAAGCGUGGGGAGCAAAC
This 439-nucleotide ribosomal RNA is filed under the name uncultured bacterium. Its description in RNAcentral is "bacterial SSU rRNA". It matches the Rfam family "Bacterial small subunit ribosomal RNA", at positions 340 to 773 of the family's 1533-position model. The record is from RNAcentral.